AGACCGAUAGCGAACAAGUAGAGUGAUCGAAAGAUGAAAAGCACUUUGAAAAGAGAGUUAAAAAGCACGUGAAAUUGUUGAAAGGGAAGCGCUUGCGACCAGACUCGCUCGCGGGGUUCAGCCGGCAUUCGUGCCGGUGUACUUCCCCGCGGGCGGGCCAGCGUCGGUUUGGGCGGUCGGUCAAAGGCCCUCGGAAGGUAACGCCCCUAGGGGCGUCUUAUAGCCGAGGGUGCAAUGCGACCUGCCUAGACCGAGGAACGCGCUUUCGGCUCGGACGCUGGCAUAAUGGUCGUAAACGACCCGUCUUGAAACACGGACCAAG
This 322-nucleotide ribosomal RNA is filed under the name Penicillium sp. SW224. Its description in RNAcentral is "LSU rRNA". It matches the Rfam family "Eukaryotic large subunit ribosomal RNA", at positions 331 to 670 of the family's 3401-position model. The record is from RNAcentral. Lineage: Eukaryota; Fungi; Ascomycota; Eurotiomycetes; Eurotiales; Aspergillaceae.